UUACUUUGGCAGAUUAGUGCUUUAAAUUUAGACUUUAAAUAUAUGUAAUUUUUACAUAGGUAAUACAUU
This 69-nucleotide transfer RNA is filed under the name Anomala varicolor. Its description in RNAcentral is "tRNA-Leu". The record is from RNAcentral. Lineage: Eukaryota; Metazoa; Arthropoda; Insecta; Coleoptera; Scarabaeidae.